AACGAACGCUGGCGGCAUGCCUAACACAUGCAAGUCGAACGAGACCGUCCGGUCUAUGGGCGCACGGGUGCUUAACGCGUGGGAACCUGCCCGUAGGUUCCGUAUAACUCCCCGAAGGGUGUGCUAAUACCAGAUAAUCUCUUCGGACCUAAGAUUUAUCGCCGUUGGGUGGGCGCGCGUUGGCUUAGCUGGUUGGUAGGGUAAAAGCAUACCAACGCCACGAUCCAUAGCUGGUCGGAGAGGAUGCUCAGCCACACUGGGACUGAGACGCGGACUACACUCCGACGGGACGGAGCAGUGUGGUAUAUUAGACACGGGGCGAAAGUCUGAUCACGCAGUGUCGCGGGAGUGAUGAAGGCCUUAGGGUUGUAAAGCUGUCUUACCCGGGAUGAUAAUGACAGUAACGGGAGAAUAAGCUCCGGCUAACUACGUG
This 433-nucleotide ribosomal RNA is filed under the name uncultured bacterium. RNAcentral's name for it is "partial 16S ribosomal RNA". It matches the Rfam family "Bacterial small subunit ribosomal RNA", at positions 29 to 507 of the family's 1533-position model. The record is from RNAcentral.